RNAcentral lists this ribosomal RNA (1541 nucleotides) under Streptococcus salivarius SK126. Its description in RNAcentral is "bacterial SSU rRNA". It matches the Rfam family "Bacterial small subunit ribosomal RNA". RNAcentral also lists the same sequence under 2 other names. The record is from RNAcentral. Lineage: Bacteria; Bacillati; Bacillota; Bacilli; Lactobacillales; Streptococcaceae.
AGAGUUUGAUCCUGGCUCAGGACGAACGCUGGCGGCGUGCCUAAUACAUGCAAGUAGAACGCUGAAGAGAGGAGCUUGCUCUUCUUGGAUGAGUUGCGAACGGGUGAGUAACGCGUAGGUAACCUGCCUUGUAGCGGGGGAUAACUAUUGGAAACGAUAGCUAAUACCGCAUAACAAUGGAUGACACAUGUCAUUUAUUUGAAAGGGGCAAUUGCUCCACUACAAGAUGGACCUGCGUUGUAUUAGCUAGUAGGUGAGGUAACGGCUCACCUAGGCGACGAUACAUAGCCGACCUGAGAGGGUGAUCGGCCACACUGGGACUGAGACACGGCCCAGACUCCUACGGGAGGCAGCAGUAGGGAAUCUUCGGCAAUGGGGGCAACCCUGACCGAGCAACGCCGCGUGAGUGAAGAAGGUUUUCGGAUCGUAAAGCUCUGUUGUAAGUCAAGAACGAGUGUGAGAGUGGAAAGUUCACACUGUGACGGUAGCUUACCAGAAAGGGACGGCUAACUACGUGCCAGCAGCCGCGGUAAUACGUAGGUCCCGAGCGUUGUCCGGAUUUAUUGGGCGUAAAGCGAGCGCAGGCGGUUUGAUAAGUCUGAAGUUAAAGGCUGUGGCUCAACCAUAGUUCGCUUUGGAAACUGUCAAACUUGAGUGCAGAAGGGGAGAGUGGAAUUCCAUGUGUAGCGGUGAAAUGCGUAGAUAUAUGGAGGAACACCGGUGGCGAAAGCGGCUCUCUGGUCUGUAACUGACGCUGAGGCUCGAAAGCGUGGGGAGCGAACAGGAUUAGAUACCCUGGUAGUCCACGCCGUAAACGAUGAGUGCUAGGUGUUGGAUCCUUUCCGGGAUUCAGUGCCGCAGCUAACGCAUUAAGCACUCCGCCUGGGGAGUACGACCGCAAGGUUGAAACUCAAAGGAAUUGACGGGGGCCCGCACAAGCGGUGGAGCAUGUGGUUUAAUUCGAAGCAACGCGAAGAACCUUACCAGGUCUUGACAUCCCGAUGCUAUUUCUAGAGAUAGAAAGUUACUUCGGUACAUCGGUGACAGGUGGUGCAUGGUUGUCGUCAGCUCGUGUCGUGAGAUGUUGGGUUAAGUCCCGCAACGAGCGCAACCCCUAUUGUUAGUUGCCAUCAUUCAGUUGGGCACUCUAGCGAGACUGCCGGUAAUAAACCGGAGGAAGGUGGGGAUGACGUCAAAUCAUCAUGCCCCUUAUGACCUGGGCUACACACGUGCUACAAUGGUUGGUACAACGAGUUGCGAGUCGGUGACGGCAAGCUAAUCUCUUAAAGCCAAUCUCAGUUCGGAUUGUAGGCUGCAACUCGCCUACAUGAAGUCGGAAUCGCUAGUAAUCGCGGAUCAGCACGCCGCGGUGAAUACGUUCCCGGGCCUUGUACACACCGCCCGUCACACCACGAGAGUUUGUAACACCCGAAGUCGGUGAGGUAACCUUUUGGAGCCAGCCGCCUAAGGUGGGAUAGAUGAUUGGGGUGAAGUCGUAACAAGGUAGCCGUAUCGGAAGGUGCGGCUGGAUCACCUCCUUU